Argentina anserina (silverweed cinquefoil) is the source of this 187-nucleotide small nucleolar RNA. RefSeq annotates it as small nucleolar RNA Z112. Lineage: Eukaryota; Viridiplantae; Streptophyta; Magnoliopsida; Rosales; Rosaceae. The transcript has a single exon. The record is from RefSeq and is a predicted model, not a curated record.
GAUCCAGUGAGGAAGCAUACCCAAUUGAUAGGAAGUGCCGUAUGACACUCUAAACAGCGGCGGCUACACAUAACGAGCCGCCCUACGUUCCCAUCCACCGGUGAGUAUUUGUUACUCGUCGGUCGGGAACAGGGGCGGCUCAGGUGUGCCUUCGUUGUGUGUGAUUUGGAACGGGAUUCUGAGGGUC